RNAcentral lists this ribosomal RNA (2841 nucleotides) under Escherichia coli 201600.1. Its description in RNAcentral is "bacterial LSU rRNA". It matches the Rfam family "Bacterial large subunit ribosomal RNA". The record is from RNAcentral. Lineage: Bacteria; Pseudomonadati; Pseudomonadota; Gammaproteobacteria; Enterobacterales; Enterobacteriaceae.
AAUCUGCGAUAAGCGUCGGUAAGGUGAUAUGAACCGUUAUAACCGGCGAUUUCCGAAUGGGGAAACCCAGUGUGUUUCGACACACUAUCAUUAACUGAAUCCAUAGGUUAAUGAGGCGAACCGGGGGAACUGAAACAUCUAAGUACCCCGAGGAAAAGAAAUCAACCGAGAUUCCCCCAGUAGCGGCGAGCGAACGGGGAGCAGCCCAGAGCCUGAAUCAGUGUGUGUGUUAGUGGAAGCGUCUGGAAAGGCGCGCGAUACAGGGUGACAGCCCCGUACACAAAAAUGCACAUGCUGUGAGCUCGAUGAGUAGGGCGGGACACGUGGUAUCCUGUCUGAAUAUGGGGGGACCAUCCUCCAAGGCUAAAUACUCCUGACUGACCGAUAGUGAACCAGUACCGUGAGGGAAAGGCGAAAAGAACCCCGGCGAGGGGAGUGAAAAAGAACCUGAAACCGUGUACGUACAAGCAGUGGGAGCCUCUUUUAUGGGGUGACUGCGUACCUUUUGUAUAAUGGGUCAGCGACUUAUAUUCUGUAGCAAGGUUAACCGAAUAGGGGAGCCGAAGGGAAACCGAGUCUUAACUGGGCGUUAAGUUGCAGGGUAUAGACCCGAAACCCGGUGAUCUAGCCAUGGGCAGGUUGAAGGUUGGGUAACACUAACUGGAGGACCGAACCGACUAAUGUUGAAAAAUUAGCGGAUGACUUGUGGCUGGGGGUGAAAGGCCAAUCAAACCGGGAGAUAGCUGGUUCUCCCCGAAAGCUAUUUAGGUAGCGCCUCGUGAAUUCAUCUCCGGGGGUAGAGCACUGUUUCGGCAAGGGGGUCAUCCCGACUUACCAACCCGAUGCAAACUGCGAAUACCGGAGAAUGUUAUCACGGGAGACACACGGCGGGUGCUAACGUCCGUCGUGAAGAGGGAAACAACCCAGACCGCCAGCUAAGGUCCCAAAGUCAUGGUUAAGUGGGAAACGAUGUGGGAAGGCCCAGACAGCCAGGAUGUUGGCUUAGAAGCAGCCAUCAUUUAAAGAAAGCGUAAUAGCUCACUGGUCGAGUCGGCCUGCGCGGAAGAUGUAACGGGGCUAAACCAUGCACCGAAGCUGCGGCAGCGACGCUGAUGCGUUGUUGGGUAGGGGAGCGUUCUGUAAGCCUGUGAAGGUGUGCUGUGAGGCAUGCUGGAGGUAUCAGAAGUGCGAAUGCUGACAUAAGUAACGAUAAAGCGGGUGAAAAGCCCGCUCGCCGGAAGACCAAGGGUUCCUGUCCAACGUUAAUCGGGGCAGGGUGAGUCGACCCCUAAGGCGAGGCCGAAAGGCGUAGUCGAUGGGAAACAGGUUAAUAUUCCUGUACUUGGUGUUACUGCGAAGGGGGGACGGAGAAGGCUAUGUUGGCCGGGCGACGGUUGUCCCGGUUUAAGCGUGUAGGCUGGUUUUCCAGGCAAAUCCGGAAAAUCAAGGCUGAGGCGUGAUGACGAGGCACUACGGUGCUGAAGCAACAAAUGCCCUGCUUCCAGGAAAAGCCUCUAAGCAUCAGGUAACAUCAAAUCGUACCCCAAACCGACACAGGUGGUCAGGUAGAGAAUACCAAGGCGCUUGAGAGAACUCGGGUGAAGGAACUAGGCAAAAUGGUGCCGUAACUUCGGGAGAAGGCACGCUGAUAUGUAGGUGAAGUCCCUCGCGGAUGGAGCUGAAAUCAGUCGAAGAUACCAGCUGGCUGCAACUGUUUAUUAAAAACACAGCACUGUGCAAACACGAAAGUGGACGUAUACGGUGUGACGCCUGCCCGGUGCCGGAAGGUUAAUUGAUGGGGUCAGCGCAAGCGAAGCUCUUGAUCGAAGCCCCGGUAAACGGCGGCCGUAACUAUAACGGUCCUAAGGUAGCGAAAUUCCUUGUCGGGUAAGUUCCGACCUGCACGAAUGGCGUAAUGAUGGCCAGGCUGUCUCCACCCGAGACUCAGUGAAAUUGAACUCGCUGUGAAGAUGCAGUGUACCCGCGGCAAGACGGAAAGACCCCGUGAACCUUUACUAUAGCUUGACACUGAACAUUGAGCCUUGAUGUGUAGGAUAGGUGGGAGGCUUUGAAGUGUGGACGCCAGUCUGCAUGGAGCCGACCUUGAAAUACCACCCUUUAAUGUUUGAUGUUCUAACGUUGACCCGUAAUCCGGGUUGCGGACAGUGUCUGGUGGGUAGUUUGACUGGGGCGGUCUCCUCCUAAAGAGUAACGGAGGAGCACGAAGGUUGGCUAAUCCUGGUCGGACAUCAGGAGGUUAGUGCAAUGGCAUAAGCCAGCUUGACUGCGAGCGUGACGGCGCGAGCAGGUGCGAAAGCAGGUCAUAGUGAUCCGGUGGUUCUGAAUGGAAGGGCCAUCGCUCAACGGAUAAAAGGUACUCCGGGGAUAACAGGCUGAUACCGCCCAAGAGUUCAUAUCGACGGCGGUGUUUGGCACCUCGAUGUCGGCUCAUCACAUCCUGGGGCUGAAGUAGGUCCCAAGGGUAUGGCUGUUCGCCAUUUAAAGUGGUACGCGAGCUGGGUUUAGAACGUCGUGAGACAGUUCGGUCCCUAUCUGCCGUGGGCGCUGGAGAACUGAAGGGGGCUGCUCCUAGUACGAGAGGACCGGAGUGGACGCAUCACUGGUGUUCGGGUUGUCAUGCCAAUGGCACUGCCCGGUAGCUAAAUGCGGAAGAGAUAAGUGCUGAAAGCAUCUAAGCACGAAACUUGCCCCGAGAUGAGUUCUCCCUGACUCCUUGAGAGUCCUAAAGGAACGUUGAAGACGACGACGUUGAUAGGCCGGGUGUGUAAGCGCAGCGAUGCGUUGAGCUAACCGGUACUAAUGAACCGUGAGGCUUAACCU